RNAcentral lists this ribosomal RNA (417 nucleotides) under uncultured eukaryote. RNAcentral's name for it is "bacterial SSU rRNA". It matches the Rfam family "Eukaryotic small subunit ribosomal RNA", at positions 336 to 756 of the family's 1831-position model. The record is from RNAcentral.
GAGGCCCGCCGCGGUAACGACGGGUAACGGGGAAUCAGGGUUCGAUUCCGGAGAGGGAGCCCGAGAAACGGCUACCACUUCCAAGGAAGGCAGCAGGCGCGCAACUUACCCUAAUCUCGAUUCGAGGAGGUAGUGACAAGAAAUACCGAUGCGGGACCCUACGGGUGCCGCGUUCGGAAUGAGUACGAUUCGAACCACCUAACGAGGAACGAUCGGAGGGCAAGUCUGGUGCCAGCAGCCGCGGUAAUUCCAGCUCCAAUAGCGUACGUUAAAGUUGCUGCAGUUAAAAAGCUCGUAGUUGAACGUUCGGGUUCCGCGGGACGGGGCCGCCCCGCGAGGGACGGCGCCGCCCCGGGGCUCGUGAUAUCUCAUCUCGCCGCCCGUCGCGAGGCGGACGGAGGGAUGGAUGAGGUUACC